AAAUUCACAGCCAUGGGUGGGAGUCACAGCCAUGGGUGGGAGCUACCAAUAGAUUACAGUCAAUGCUGGCACCAAUACUACAGCCAUGGUGGGAGCACCAAUACUCACAGCCACGGUGGGAGUAUCGACAUUCACAGCCACGGGUGGGAGUAUUGACAUUCACAAAUACAGGUGCUAGCGGGUGAAGGUACCAGUAUUCACAGCCACAAUUGGGUUCAUGGGUAUUCACAGCCAUGGUUGGCAGUUCCUAUAUUAUUGACCAUGGCUGGGAGUGCCUUAUUAUUGACUGUGGUUGGGAGAGCAUGUAUUCAUGGCCAUGGUUGGGAGGGGCCUUUAUUAUUGCUCAUGGCUUGAAGCACCUACAUUAUUGUGCAUGGUUGGGAGCAUCCGUAUUAUUGGCCGUGGUUUGGAGUGCCUUAUAAUUGCCUGUUGUUGGGAGCUCCUUAUUAUUGCCUGUGGUUGGGGGUGAAUAUAUUAUUGUCCAUGGCAAGGAGUGACUGUAUUCGUGGCUGUGGAUGGGUGGGUAAACUAAUAUUCACAAUGAAUGUACACUCAGGAGCUUUAUUGUUUAUGAAUGUCUACGUUCCGAGCCUAGUGCGGGAGUCCAAUUCAUGGGUUUAACACAUAGACUACCCUAAAUAAUGCGCACCUCAUUAAAAGGAGCCAGAGGACAAAUAUAAUAAUCUCAUUCAGGAACUGAAGAUAAUAUGCUGUGGGCUCAGCCUCUUUAGACUACUUACCUUCACCACUGUCCACAAUGCAGAUUAUACCCAGAGAGUGUUAUAGGACAGGUGGCUGAAUGCACUUUCCCUCUGUAACCUGCGUAUGUUGGUGGUGGUACCCACAUCGGUGCAAACGCUAAAUAACUAUUUCUUCCUGUGCUUGGUCAUGGAAGAACAUUAAUGGGGUUCCAGAGGGGUGUAGUCUAGUGCUGAAUAUUUCAUGCAUUUUGUUUUAUAUUGUUCAUUGCCUUUGAAUUGUCCACAAAUAAUGUGAUCAGUCUGCUUCCUCUGUGCUAAAAUCAAAUCCUUGUACUUCGUUUCUGAUCGUGCAGAGGUUGUAGUAAUAGGACGAUUAAAGACGGGCUUGGAGUGAGGAAUCAUAAAUACGUCAGGUUAUAUUUUAAGAACCAAACAACAGCAACGCUGUUGUCAGUUUGCUCCAUACUUGCCUUAUUCAAUGUUUGUGGAUUGCGAUUCUGCACCCUACACCCUGGCUUUCCGUUAUUUUCAGUGACCUCGUUACAUAAAAUUGGAAAUUCAUUAGAGUGCAAGAAAAACAAUUAAAAUCUAAUCAUUUCAUAAACUCUGACCCCUAUAAACAUGUAUUACUAUAAUUUAGGCUUCUUUUAAGUUUAAGACCAACCAAUUUCAUCCACCUUGCAUAAUAAUCUAACAGCUCGGUGGUUCUUGGUUUUCUCAGGGAGUGUAGUCUUGGGAUCUCUUGAUUAGAGAGAUCUGAACAGGACACACAGAUGUUCAUACAAAAUGUGCGUAUCACAGGCAGAUGCAGCUCGUCAUUUGGUAUUUUAUGAGAUGGAGUUACAGACCUUUCCCCUCCUCAUAUGGACUCCAUAAAUCUGUUCACAGAAACUGUCCCAGUAACUGGCCAUACCUCCACGGACCACCCCUCAGAUGGCUAUUAGAUGAGGUUCCUGGGGCAGUGCUGCACAGUGUGACUGACAUUCAGUGUCUCCACCCUCUGCAUGCAGACACUGAACUUUCCUCAUAGAGAUGCAUUGAUUCCAUAUAUCUCUAGGAGGAGAUGCCAAUUGGCCAGGGCUGUGUUUGGCUCCAACCACCUCCGUGGCUGAGAUCAUUAGAACUGACAAUCUCAGCCGAUCCAGUGCUUUCCUACGGGAAAACAUAGUGAUUGUCUGAGAUAAUCACUACUGCUGAUGUCAGCCAAGGAUGCAGAUCAAGGGCGGGGUCAGCAGCAUAUAUUUAGGAGAGCAAGGGGGGACUAGAUAGUGUUCCUUUAAACUUCUGUUUCAAGGGGUAACGUUUCCAACCCUGUUAUUUCCUGUAUUAAUGACACAAAAUGUGUUGUUAUAGCCCCCAACCAUCAUCUGCCUGUUGCCAGCGUCAUUCUGCCUAUUCUACAAGAACAGAGGUCAAGUGUGAAAUCUCAAUUGCUGGAUGAGGAAUAUUCUUGGAAUUAAUAAAUUAAUUGAACUAUGAUUGUCUAUGCCUUUUAAUUCAUGACUUAACAAUGCAUCCAGUAAAUUAUUCUCCUUCAAGAGCAGAGCUUUUCAUGUAGUGCACAGUAGGGGGCAUAACAUAUCUCUGUGGCUGACCACUUGGUACCCCGACUGGGUACCUCCGCCAAACAUGCUUCCACGAGCUACCAUCAGCAUUUCACUGGGACACCAUAACCUGUUCCAGCCCCAUAGCUGCUGCAGCUGGGCUGGGGUCUUGCCAUUUACGCCCACCUUGGACCCAAGUCCUUGAUCCAGCUCCCAGUGGGUAGACCUCUCCUCCAAAGAGUAUAGCCGGCAUAGCCAGCAAUGGCUAAUGGGAGAUCGAGGAGGGACCAACGCCCUACUGGGGAAACAGGAAUUGUGCCUGAGAGAUAAUCUGAGAGAUAAUCCGAAACUGUACAAACUCAAUUAUCUCCAGGUACAGAAAAACACUCAAUUUUACAACACCACAAAAUCCACAGAAACCCCCAAGAGUCACAUCCACGGGUAGCUAUGAUCUGAGUGACCAUCAUAUCCAAAAAUCCCUCCGAUCGGUUCAGUGGUUCGAAUUUUCCAUGUAAGUCACUCCAGGAACACGUGGCAGAGGCAUCUUUGCGAUAAUCUCUAGUCCUAUUGUGCUUUAUACCCCACCUUCUAUAGACUGUAAGCUCGUUUGAGCCAUCCUGUAAGUUUUUUGUUAUUGUCUUAUUUAUUGUUAAAUCUCCCUCUUUUAUAAUAUUGUAAGGAGCUACGGCAUCUGUUGGUGCUAUAUAAAUGCAAAUAAUAAAAUCAGUACCCUCAAACAGGGUGCAAUAUGACGCACAUCCUAAUGUCACGCUCUGAUACCAAUACAUAGCAAAUACAGGGCACAAUAUGAGGCACACCUGAAUGUCACGCUCUGAUACCAAUACAUAGCAAAUACAGGGCGCAAUAUGACGCACACACUAAUGUCACGCUCUGAUACCAAUACGUAGCAAAUAGGGCGCAAUAUGACGCACACACUAAUGUCACGCUCUGAUACCAAUACAUAGCAAAUACAGGGCGCAAUAUGACGCACACACUAAUGUCACGCUCUGAUACCAAUACAUAGCAAAUAGGGCGCAAUAUGACGCACACCCUAAUGUCAAGCUCUGAUACCAAUACAUAGCAAAUAGGGCGCAAUAUGACGCACACCCUAAUGUCAAGCUCUAAUACCAAUACAUAGCAAAUAGACAGGGCGCAAUACGACGCACACCCGAAUGUCACGCUCUGAUACCAAUACAUAGCAAAUACAGGGCACAAUAUGAGGCACACACUGUAGCGGAGCUGCAAUAUUAAAUCCCAAGAUCUCCGCUGGUAUAGAAGGUAAUCCAAAGUAAAGCACUGGAAAAGAAGGCGAUAUCCCAAAUCCCCCAGUAACCGGACGAAAAACAGUUCAGGGAGUAAACUGACAAUUUUAUUCACGGCUGUUAGCCUACAGGGAGUGCAGAAUUAUUAG
Molecule: long non-coding RNA, 3656 nt
Filed under: Pelobates cultripes (western spadefoot toad)
Lineage: Eukaryota; Metazoa; Chordata; Amphibia; Anura; Pelobatidae
Source: RNAcentral